CACAUGCAAGUCGAACGAAGUAGCAAUACUUAGUGGCAGACGGGUGAGUAACAUGUAGGUAUCUGCCCUUUGGCCUGGAAUAACACGAGGAAACUUGUGCUAAUACCGGAUAAGUCUUUACGGAGAAAGCUUUAUGCACCAUUGGAUGAGCCUGCACUUGAUUAGUUUGUUGGUGGGGUAAUGGCCUACCAAGACUGUGAUCAAUAGCUGAUUUGAGAGGAUGAUCAGCCACAUUGGGACUGAGACACGGCCCAAACUCCUACGGGAGGCAGCAGUGGGGAAUCUUGCACAAUGGAGGAAACUCUGAUGCAGCGAUGCCGCGUGAGUGAAGAAGGCCCUUGGGUUGUAAAGCUCUUUCGUCGGGGAAGAAAAUGACUGUACCCGAAUAAGAAGGUCCGGCUAACUUCGUGCCAGCAGCCGCGGUAAUACGAAGGGACCUAGCGUAGUUCGGAAUUACUGGGCUUAAAGAGUUCGUAGGUGGUUGAAAAAGUUAGUGGUGAAAUCCCAGAGCUUAACUCUGGAACUGCCAUUAAAACUUUUCAGCUAGAGUAUGAUAGAGGAAAGCAGAAUUUCUAGUGUAGAGGUGAAAUUCGUAGAUAUUAGAAAGAAUACCAAUUGCGAAGGCAGCUUUCUGGAUCAUUACUGACACUGAGGAACGAAAGCAUGGGUAGCGAAGAGGAUUAGAUACCCUCGUAGUCCAUGCCGUAAACGAUGUGUGUUAGACGUUGGAAAUUUAUUUUCAGUGUCGCAGCGAAAGCGAUAAACACACCGCCUGGGGAGUACGACCGCAAGGUUAAAACUCAAAUGAAUUGACGGGGACCCGCACAAGUAGUGGAGCAUGUGGUUUAAUUCGAAGAUACGCGCAGAACCUUACCAACACUUGACAUGUUCGUCGCGACUCUAAGAGAUUAGAGUUUUCGGUUCGGCCGGACGAAACACAGGUGCUGCAUGGCUGUCGUCAGCUCGUGUCGUGAGAUGUUGGGUUAAGUCCCGCAACGAGCGCAACCCUCACUUUUAGUUGCCAUCAUUAAGUUGGGCACUCUGAAAGAACUGCCAGUGAUAAGCUGGAGGAAGGUGGGGAUGACGUCAAGUCCUCAUGGCCCUUACGUGUUGGGCUACACACGUGCUACAAUGGUAUCUACAACAGGAAGCAAGACUGCGAAGUUAAGCAAAUCCCUAAAAGAUACCUCAGUUCGGAUUGCACUCUGCAACUCGAGUGCAUGAAGCUGGAAUUACUAGUAAUCGUGGAUCAGCGUGCCACGGUGAAUGCGUUCCCGGGUCUUGUACACACCGCCCGUCACACCAUGGGAGUUGGUUCUACCUUAAGGCAAGGUUUCAAACCCUUGACCACGGUAUAGUCAGCGACUGGGGUGAAGUCGUAACAAGGUAGCCGUA
This 1395-nucleotide ribosomal RNA is filed under the name uncultured bacterium. RNAcentral describes it as "bacterial SSU rRNA". It matches the Rfam family "Bacterial small subunit ribosomal RNA". The record is from RNAcentral.